AACGCGAAGAACCUUACCUAAGCUUGACAUCCUUUUGACCGAUGCUUAAUCGCAUCUUUCCCUUCGGGGACAGAAGUGACAGGUGGUGCAUGGUUGUCGUCAGCUCGUGUCGUGAGAUGUUGGGUUAAGUCCCGCAACGAGCGCAACCCUUGCCUUUAGUUGCCAGCAUUAAGUUGGGCACUCUAGAGGGACUGCCGAGGAUAACUCGGAGGAAGGUGGGGAUGACGUCAAAUCAUCAUGCCCCUUAUGCUUAGGGCUACACACGUGCUACAAUGGGUGGUACAGAGGGUUGCCAAGCCGCGAGGUGGAGCUAAUCCCUUAAAGCCAUUCUCAGUUCGGAUUGUAGGCUGAAACUCGCCUACAUGAAGCUGGAGUUACUAGUAAUCGCAGAUCAGAAUGCUGCGGUGAAUGCGUUCCCGGGUCUUGUACACACCG
RNAcentral lists this ribosomal RNA (435 nucleotides) under uncultured bacterium. RNAcentral describes it as "bacterial SSU rRNA". It matches the Rfam family "Bacterial small subunit ribosomal RNA", at positions 958 to 1392 of the family's 1533-position model. The record is from RNAcentral.